GGGAGCCUGAUGUGGGAUUCGAUCCCGGGUCUCCAGGAUCGUGCCCUGGGCCAAAGGCAGGCGCUAAACCGCUGCGCCACCCAGGGAUCCCAAAAGUGAAGUGUUUUUAAUGCCAAUAAGAGGUUAGCACCUAAGAUCAGAUUCCAGAGAACACAGGUCCCUGACAAAUUUUGCCCAUGGCAAAUGGAGCCGUGCUGCAGCACGGAGGCCUAUGGAGACCAUAAAAUAUGACUGGUUGUGGGGCACCCUUUCACCAGUUAGGUGCUAGUUCCUGAGAGGCCCUCUAAAGGCCAGUGGGCACCUCUUUGGCCCCAUGUGAUGAAAGGAGGGGGAAAAGAUGGCCCUCAAGAGCUUUGUGCUCAAGACUAUUUAAGUGGAUGUUCUAGGUAUGUUAAUGAAAAAGUGUAGUGAAGAGCAGAAUGUGGUACUAUAUUCAUUUAAUUCAACCCAAAAUGAUGGGUCAAAAUUGAAGGAACUGGCAUCAUUCCUCAGACUUGCAAUUAGCAGAGGCUGUGGUGUCCUGACUAGAUUUUGCAGAGUGGUGGCCAUCUUGAAGUAACAGAUUCCUGUUGAGUUGGGGUGUCAAGAGGCCGAGAGGAGUCUCUGGUUUAAGACUUCUGGCUCCUAGAAGAGACUCUAUUUCACUGAGGGGGGGAAGACCAAGAGAUUUUCAGCAUCACAGUGGUCGUUAGAGUCGCUUGGUUAUGAAUGAAGGGUUGCACAAGACAGGAAGACCUAGAGGUGACCAGAUAUCCCAUCAUCAUAGAUGUCAUGAAAAGGCAAAAUACAAGAAACAAGGAAGAGAGGGAGAAAGAGAGAAGAGAAGCACACACUAACUUUCUUGUGUGCAAAGGUGCUAGACCACUUGAUGUGCAGCUAGCAUUGGCAUAGAGAGAACUGAAUUUGUGAAUGGUGUGGCCUCUCCAACUCAGCCUUCCUUUUAGGGAAGGACCUGUCCUACUGGGCCUGGGACCAUGUGGAGGAUGAAGACUUGGAUGAAUUUAGGCACUGGAGGAAGAGGGAUUAUUUAUAAAAGGAAGGUUGUUGAUCUAAGCCAAAAGGAGACAUCAUCUGGCUAAGCUUUGUGGAAGGAAAGACGUGGCUGGUAUGUUGAUGUGACUUGGGUGUGAAAACGCUGUCUUAAGAGAUGAAGGAGUGUGAGUAGCAGUGGGGAUGCUUACGAUUUGACAACUGUAAUCUCACAGGGGGGAGUGGGAGAGUGAUUCUGUAACUAUUAGAAUGAGUUUGGAUUUGUAAUCACAAUGGCUCUAUGAUUUGUCUCUGGCUAUUCACAGAUAAUUGUAAAUUCUGGUUUUAUAAGCCCAAGUCAUUUUACAUUUGCUUUUUCCAAAAUUUAUUAAAUUGGACUUUUUUAAUCAUUUAUAUACAAAAAAACAGAUAUAAUCACUCAGUGUCUGUUUCUCUUCCCCCUCCUAGUCAGCCUACCUCAUCUCUUUGUUUGGCUUUAUUUAAUCAGUAGCUACCCUUUUCUGAUUUCUCUAAGGACAAUCCACUUUUCCUAGAGAAAAAGAAGUUAAGUUCCCUUGGGAGCUGGCCACUUGAUUACUGUUUCCAAAUGCAGAACUCGGUCUUUUCAUGUUAAAAGCCUUAAUCCCAUUUGGGUACUCCAAAGAGAAGUCAAAGUUCAUUCUGGUUCAAUUUUAGUGUUCAAGAAAGAUCAUUUUUUAGCAACAAGAGACUCUCCCCAGCACCCCAUGUUCAACUUCCCAGGAGAUAAGCCCAUAAAAUACUCACUGGAGCAGGCUGAGAACUGUUUGUCUGUGUUAGCCACUCCUUUCUCAUUUCCAGAAAUCUCCUGUCUUGUGAUCAUGGACCUGCAAACCUAGCAAGAACCACUUCUAGAGUCCCUUUGCCAAAAUCCUUGUGAAUUGAGGCCCCAACUUUGGAGGCACGUUUGAUCCCCCAAUUCUUCUGUGAUGGUAUUUUUACUAGCAGGACAGAUGGCACUGAUUACAUUAAGAACUAUUUGAAAGUGCCUCUUAUGGGUUUUUGGUUUUUUUUUCCUGCAUCCUGUACAUAAACUUUGAAGUUUCUGGUCCAGAUAGGUACAACUGUUUCUCUCCACUUUAUUUUCUGCUUGGUUUUGUAAGUGACUCCUGUGUCUCUAGGACAGCAGUAAAUGAGUUAAAUAAGUAGUUGGCUUGGGGCAAAAGAAGGUUGCAACUGUGCUUGAUUUACUAAGCCAGGAGUCCCUUGUUUGUCAAGGUGCCUUCCUCUGCUGAAGCCUUAUCUCCUCACAAGCCCCUCCUCUUGUUACUCCCAGCAACACUAGCUCUUCUCUUGUGUAUAUGCAAAUAAACCUAUUAUUC
This 2330-nucleotide long non-coding RNA is filed under the name Canis lupus familiaris (dog). Its description in RNAcentral is "lncRNA (ENSCAFG00000053106.1)". Lineage: Eukaryota; Metazoa; Chordata; Mammalia; Carnivora; Canidae. The record is from RNAcentral.